This 732-nucleotide ribosomal RNA is filed under the name uncultured Leptotrichia sp. RNAcentral's name for it is "bacterial SSU rRNA". It matches the Rfam family "Bacterial small subunit ribosomal RNA", at positions 28 to 776 of the family's 1533-position model. Lineage: Bacteria; Fusobacteriati; Fusobacteriota; Fusobacteriia; Fusobacteriales; Leptotrichiaceae. The record is from RNAcentral.
GAUGAACGCUGACAGAAUGCUUAACACAUGCAAGUCUUUGGCGAAGCUGUGCUUGCACAGCCUAGCCAAGGCGGACGGGUGAGUAACGCGUAAGGAACUUGCCCUGCAGUCAGGGAUAACAGACGGAAACGACUGAUAAGACCUGGUAAAGUCAGGCGGACUCAUGUCCAGCCUGAUGAAAAGAGAUGCUGCAGGAGAGCCUUGCGUCCUAUUAGCUUGUUGGUGGGGUAACGGCCCACCAAGGCAAUGAUAGGUAGCCGGCCUGAGAGGGUGGACGGCCACAAGGGGACUGAGAUACGGCCCUUACUCCUACGGGAGGCAGCAGUGGGGAAUAUUGGACAAUGGGGGCAACCCUGAUCCAGCAAUUCUGUGUGCACGGUGAAGGUUUUCGGAUUGUAAAGUGCUUUCAGCAGGGAAGAAAAAAAUGACGGUACCUGCAGAAGAAGCGACGGCUAAAUACGUGCCAGCAGCCGCGGUAAUACGUAUGUCGCAAGCGUUAUCCGGAAUUAUUGGGCAUAAAGGGCAUCUAGGCGGCCAGAUAAGUCUGGGGUGAAAACUUGCGGCUCAACCGCAAGCCUGCCCUGGAAACUAUGUGGCUAGAGUACUGGAGAGGUGGACGGAACUGCACGAGUAGAGGUGAAAUUCGUAGAUAUGUGCAGGAAUGCCGAUGAUGAAGAUAGUUCACUGGACGGUAACUGACGCUGAAGUGCGAAAGCUAGGGGAGCAAACAGG